This 214-nucleotide long non-coding RNA is filed under the name Elaeis guineensis (African oil palm). RNAcentral describes it as "long non-coding RNA (EGUI_LNC044960)". Lineage: Eukaryota; Viridiplantae; Streptophyta; Magnoliopsida; Arecales; Arecaceae. The record is from RNAcentral.
UCACACGAAGUUGUCCGGCCUCUACAGCAAGUUCACAUGAAAAUUGAUACAGAUCAGGGUCCUUAGAGGUGCUAGUCUGUAAGAAACUUUGAGGCUGAUUUCUUCCUUCUUCUUCAAAGGCCUUGGAAGCUCCAAAGGAUGAAGAAAUCUAGAGAGAAGAGGAGGAGAAGCUCUGGAAACAAAAACACUAGCAAGAGAACAAAGAUGUGAUGCC